This 301-nucleotide ribosomal RNA is filed under the name uncultured bacterium. RNAcentral's name for it is "partial 16S ribosomal RNA". It matches the Rfam family "Bacterial small subunit ribosomal RNA", at positions 509 to 807 of the family's 1533-position model. The record is from RNAcentral.
CAGCAGCCACGGUAAUACGUAGGUGGCAAGCGUUGUCCGGAAUUAUUGGGCGUAAAGGGCCCGCAGGCGGUUUCUUAAGUCUGAUGUGAAAGCCCCCGGCUCAACCGGGGAGGGUCAUUGGAAACUGGGAAACUUGAGUGCAGAAGAGGAGAGUGGAAUUCCACGUGUAGCGGUGAAAUGCGUAGAGAUGUGGAGAAACACCAGUGGCGAAGGCGACUCUCUGGUCUGUAACUGACGCUGAGGAGCGAAAGCGUGGGGAGCGAACAGGAUUAGAUACCCGAGUAGUCCCUGUCUCUUAUAC